This 845-nucleotide ribosomal RNA is filed under the name uncultured bacterium. RNAcentral's name for it is "bacterial SSU rRNA". It matches the Rfam family "Bacterial small subunit ribosomal RNA", at positions 8 to 902 of the family's 1533-position model. The record is from RNAcentral.
AGAGUUUGAUCAUGGCUCAGAACGUACGCUGGCGGCACGCCUAACACAUGCAAGUCGAACGAAGUAGCAAUACUUAGUGGCAGACGGGUGAGUAACAUGUGGGUAUCUGCCCUUUGGCCUGGAAUAACACGAGGAAACUUGUGCUAAUACCGGAUAAGUCUUUACGGAGAAAGCUUUAUGCACCAUUGGAUGAGCCCGCACUUGAUUAGUUUGUUGGUGGGGUAAUGGCCUACCAAGACUGUGAUCAAUAGCUGAUUUGAGAGGAUGAUCAGCCACAUUGGGACUGAGACACGGCCCAAACUCCUACGGGAGGCAGCAGUGGGGAAUCUUGCACAAUGGAGGAAACUCUGAUGCAGCGAUGCCGCGUGAGUGAAGAAGGCCCUUGGGUUGUAAAGCUCUUUCGUCGGGGAAGAAAAUGACUGUACCCGAAUAAGAAGGCCCGGCUAACUUCGUGCCAGCAGCCGCGGUAAUACGAAGGGACCUAGCGUAGUUCGGAAUUACUGGGCUUAAAGAGUUCGUAGGUGGUUGAAAAAGUUAGUGGUGAAAUCCCAGAGCUUAACUCUGGAACUGCCAUUAAAACUUUUCAGCUAGAGUAUGAUAGAGGAAAGCAGAAUUUCUAGUGUAGAGGUGAAAUUCGUAGAUAUUAGAAAGAAUACCAAUUGCGAAGGCAGCUUUUCUGGAUCAUUACUGACACUGAGGAACGAAAGCAUGGGUAGCGAAGAGGAUUAGAUACCCUCGUAGUCCAUGCCGUAAACGAUGUGUGUUAGACGUUGGAAAUUUAUUUUCAGUGUCGCAGCGAAAGCGAUAACACACCGCCUGGGGAGUACGACCGCAAGGUUAAACUC